This 303-nucleotide ribosomal RNA is filed under the name Triticum aestivum (bread wheat). RNAcentral describes it as "partial small subunit ribosomal RNA". Lineage: Eukaryota; Viridiplantae; Streptophyta; Magnoliopsida; Poales; Poaceae. The record is from RNAcentral.
AUGAGGAGAAACCAGUCAAGAUUCUUGAGUUUGCCAGCCGAGUCACUCGCAGCAAGCUUAUCAAGUUUUGCAAAGUUCAGUGGAGCCACCACACGGAGGAUGAAGCCACCUGGGAGCGAGAGGAAGAUUUGCUCAAGGACCACCCUCACCUAUUUUCUAGCCAACCCGAAUCUCGAGGGCGAGAUUCAUCUUAAGGGGGGUAGGUUUGUAACAUCCCAAAUUUUCAAUUUGGAAUGUUAUACAUUAGGUCAUCAUGCAUAUCAUAUUUAUUUUGCUUUUGGUUUUGAUCCUAGAAAAUCCUAA